AAUAUACACACGAUAUUUUACUAGCAAACAUGGUAUAAAUUCUAAGAAUUCUUAAAUACAAUCUAGCGAAUUGUAUUGAAUCAUACAACCAACAAAUACAAUACAUAUUUGGACAUAGAAAAAUCAAGGUAGACAUCUCUACUCAUCGGAAAAGAAGACAGAUGAUGAAGGCCGAGAGAAAAUGCCGCAGAAAACACUUAUUUUAAAACAAAUAUCGCAAAUUAAUUAGAAGUAGCCUGUCUAGCACUAGUCCCAUACCCUUUAACUAUGUAGUAAGCCUUUUUACACUGCUU
Pieris brassicae (large cabbage white) is the source of this 293-nucleotide long non-coding RNA. RefSeq lists it as uncharacterized. Lineage: Eukaryota; Metazoa; Arthropoda; Insecta; Lepidoptera; Pieridae. The transcript has 3 exons. The record is from RefSeq and is a predicted model, not a curated record.